UACGUAGGGGGCAAGCGUUGUCCGGAUUUAUUGGGCGUAAAGAGCGUGUAGGCGGCCAUACAGGUCAGCUGUGAAAACUCGAGGCUCAACCUCGAGACGUCGGUUGAAACCGUAUGGCUAGAGUCCGGAAGAGGAGAGUGGAAUUCCCGGUGUAGCGGUGAAAUGCGCAGAUAUCGGGAAGAACACCGGUGGCGAAGGCGGGUCACUGGCCCGGUACUGACGCUGAGGUGCGAAAGCGUGGGGAGCAAACAGG
Molecule: ribosomal RNA, 253 nt
Filed under: uncultured bacterium
Lineage: Bacteria
Description: partial 16S ribosomal RNA
Rfam family: Bacterial small subunit ribosomal RNA
Source: RNAcentral